This 7679-nucleotide long non-coding RNA is filed under the name Homo sapiens (human). RNAcentral describes it as "non-protein coding lnc-FAM20C-3:12". The record is from RNAcentral. Lineage: Eukaryota; Metazoa; Chordata; Mammalia; Primates; Hominidae.
ACAGAAGCCUCAUGCAUCUUGACCAGGACGGUGGAUGCAUGGCUUACAUUGGUCACAACUUGUCAACUUGUAUGACUGAAAACUGAACAUCACAUUGAAUUGGACUCAAAGGCAAGACCUGAGGCAAAAUUCAUGUAAGGAGGGAGUUUGGGCGAAGCUUGAGGACUGCUGCCCGGAAGCGUAGAUUCAAGUUGCCCUGAAUACACCUCCUAUUAGCAGCUGUUACAGGUUCAGAAAAAGGAUGGAGGUAGAAAGUCCUCUCUCCCAAACACUAUGAUUGACACUGCAGAGUUCUGCAACUCUCGUACGAGGGAGAUUUCAUGAUGAUCUCAGUAACCGAUCAGAGAAUCAACGACUGACUUCGCUGAGGCACGGUGAUGAAAAGGUCAAGGUGGUCUGGUCUGAGUGAAGUCACAGCAAGAACCCUUGUCCAGGGCCAUUCUCACCUUUGGGGACAGCUCCUUCCCUGUAUGGUCCUCAUGUCACUGCACUUUCCUGCCUUGUUUCUUGCUGAAGCCAUUAUUUCUUAAUUCCUUAGUAGAUAUGCAGAGCGGACAUCCCAAAGAAGCUAGAAAAAUUGAUGAGCAGGGAACAGAUCAAAUCCUCUCCAUCAGUGGAAGGCAAUUCACGAGGGAAGAAGGCAAGACCAUGGGGUAAUUUUUCUGAGACUUGACAAUGUUUGCCAAGUAAAUAAAUCUGCCAUUUAACACUACGAUAAAAGCUGUCAUAGCCAGGGUAUUAGUGACUACUUGAGGUUUGAGGACAAUGAAGACAGAGUAAGAUAAACAUCCUUACUAUCCAGAAAAAAAAAACGGAACCAGAAGACAGCGCUUCUUACUAUCCACAAAAGAAAUGGAACCGCAAGACAGCCCUUCUUAUUUUUCUCCAUCUUCGAUGGUGAGGAAGAAUAAAAAAAAAGUUGCUUUUAAAGUAUAUUCAUUAAAAUCAAAUUCUAUUAUCAUACACACAAAAUAUUUACGUGAAACCAGCCACAAAAGAAUGACAAGGAACGCUACUGAUUUGUCCAUUCUGGGGGAUAAGAACACAGAUUCUUAUCUCACUCUUGUUAAAAGAAAACUUCAGCUGAAUUAAAUUUAAAGGAGUUUAAUUGAGCAAUGAAUGAUUUGCACAUCGGGCAGCCCCCAGAAUUACAGCAGAUUCAGAGAGACUCCAGUGCAGCCACGUGGUGGAAGAUUUAUAGACAAAAAAAGGGAAGUGAGGUAGAGAAACACCUGGAUUAGUUACAGGUUGGCAUUUGCCUUAUUUACACACAGUUUGAACAUUCAGCAGUGUAUGAGUGAUUGAAGUACGGCUGCUGGGACUGGCCGAGACUCAGCAAUUGUGACAGGUACAUACUCCUAAUUUAGGUUUUCAAUCUUGUCUACCUAUUAAGUUAGGCUCAGUUUGUUCACAGGGACUCCAAUACAGAAGUACGGAGUCCUUCUCAGGCCAUAUUUAGUUCGCUUUAACAAUUCCCCCUUUUUGGUCAUUUUAUCAGUUUUGAGAGAUUGAUCGAAACUUGAGUUAUUGAUGUCACUGUCACCAUUGGUCUUGAAACCCACUAGGAAGCAGAACAGUGAGUUUUGCAAAGGUAGGAACAAGGACUGAGUUGAGGAUACCACCUUAUGCUGGAAAGUCCUGUUUGCAAGAGAAAAACAAAACCUGGUCUAUUCUAGGACCCAUGUGUUUCCUUAAAGUCUUAAUUCGAUUAUGUCACAUUUAGCACGAAUGAUGCCAUUUUGGUUCGGUUUGGUCUGUUGGGACCUAGUGCUCAGUCCAAAACAAUGGCCUCCCAUCAUUUUGUUUAAAAAAUUCCCCCUUUGUCAGGUUGUCACUUAGGCAAGAGUGUGACCAAAACUUAGGAUGUUAGCGCCACUCUCCGUUACUAUCAUUUUGGAUUUCCAGUCUCAGCAUGUCACUCAUCGGUUUCGGUGUCCUCGUGGUCACACAUUUCUUUCAGCUCUUGUCAUUCCAGUUGAAGAGAGACCAUCUGACGUUCUAAAGAUGGCUUCAUGCAAACAUUUAAAACCUUUGAGAGAAUACAGUGCACCAGGGAGACUAUUCUUAUGACUACUGAGAGGGUUAACACCAAGAAUUUGGAGUAUGCUCCUUAGCCAGGGUCCCCAUAAACCAGACCACCUAAACUCAAAUAGACCAUUCUUUGACUUAACUCAGUGGUCUUUUCGUUAAUUCCCUACAACAGACUCUCUAUAACACCUGAUGUUUUCUCCAUAGGCCUUAAGUGCCAGCAUCUGCACAGGUACUUUCCUGUUUAGCCAAUUCUAUUUUUUAGCAAAUGAUGCCCUUCUAGAAGAGGGAAGGCCUCUUGGCAAUGGUCUCUUUAACCCAUGCUGUGGGUUAAGAGGAGUGAACCAAUGUUCUGCUUCUGAAUGAUUAUGAGGCACCAUAUGUACCAUUGAAGUUUCUCACCUAUGAUACACUGGGCCUUCAUCUUUAUCUAUCAAGUUAUAAGAUUAUCCAUGUAUAAAGCUGGCUGCAAAGCCCUUCACAAAUAAAAGUAUACCCCAUAAGUGCACAAAACAGACCCCCUUCUCACUUCUGUUGUUCACAGAGGCGGAAGCAACGGAAAAACAUUCAAAGAUAAGAGUCUCAUGAUAGUAAGAAGUCUUGAUCCAUGAUCUUCAGAAAGAGCUGCUCACAUCAAGGAUGCCAUCUUCUUCUGGGGAGAAACUUCCCUGAUUAGCUUUACCUUAAGGGUUUCAAUGGAUGUAGAGUUCCAAGAGUGACCCUGCUCAGUUGUGAGAUUAUGACCCCAAGGUUCAAGAUCCUGAUGUUUUGUUGCAGUGAUGAUGCCAAGGGCAGCGUUUCUCUGAUGUUCUCAGAAGAUCCCAUCUUUGGGUUCUAGAUUGUGAAGGGGUUGAUUGUCCUCAGUGAACCAUAAAAAGCUCUUUACCUGGUGAAAAUACACUGAUACAUAGUAAUCUACUGUUAUAACAUUAGCCCUCCUGCAUGGGAAAGCUUUAGUACAACCAGAACACAUACAUUGAAAAUGACAACUGAAUGAAACCCCUUUAUAAAUGUUUAAAUGCCUCAUCAGGUAGCCAAAUGUACAUGAAGCUUUGAUUGACUUCCCAGGAGUAUGGGUUUGACAAACUAAACAUUGUUUAUAAACUAUUUUAACAAUCUGUAAGUCACCACACCAACAUAUUUAAUUUGGAUCAUUUUAUCUUUUCCAGGAUGAGUCAUGGAAUGCAUAACUUUUAAUAACAAAAGCUUUAAGGACUCACGAAGGACAAGGCAGCCAUCUUGGUUCUCCAUGAGUCCAUGCUUAACAUCGGACUUAUGUCCUCUUGGGUGCCAGUUGUUUCUCCAAAUUGGGCACAUAGCAUGGAUAACUGAUGGGUUAUCACAGGGGAUGGAAAAAUCUCAACAAAAAAGGAGCGCAGAAGAGCCUGGCUAGGCGGGAGAACACGGUCAGGCCCGCAGGAGACGCCGCGGCACCUGCCAGAAAGAGAGCCGCAGGCCAAGACCAGGAGACGCGAGAGAGGUGGGCAGGGCUGCCCGAGAGACCCAGGCGGCCAUUGCCCGCCCUGCGUCUGCGCCUGCGCCGGAGCCUCCUCCACACUGCGCCAGCGCCGAGUCCGGCCGCCUCCUCAUUGCGCCGGCGCCGGGGCUUCCUCCACACCGCGCCUGCGCCGAUGACAACCCGCCUCUACAGGACGCCUGCGCAACGCCAUAGUCACCUCAUCAGCUCCGUGCACUUACGAGUCUCUCUCUGAUCGACCACGUGUUCCUGUCGGCUCACAGAGGCCGCCUCAGGGUCCUCCCCCAUUGUCUUCCUCGCACCCUCCACUGUUCCCGGCCCUUCACUCUGCGCUUGCGCAGGAGUCGCUCGCUCCUCUCUGCGCCUGCGCAGAGGCCACCUCCUCCCCGCCCGUCCGCUCCCUUGGCGUCGUCUUGGGCCGCGCCCCGACCCCUUCUGUUUACGCAUGCGCAGGAGCCGCCCUGCGCGGGUGGGGGGCUGAGCCCCUGUGGCUUCAGGUUUAAAGGCGCGAGCGCCACCCACGCAGGCACAAGGGCUCCUAGUCGUUUUAUUUUUAGCGUAAGGUUUUCCUCUUUAACAAGGAAGUAAAAAAAAAAGUUGUGCAAUAAAUAUUAAUCGUCCUUAUAUGUACUCGGGAACGUUCGUCCUUUAGGUUUUCUCCUGGCGCAUGGGCGCCGCCAAUCAUUUCGGGGCUUAUUUUGGUUCUAAAGCCCGGGGCAGCCAGGCCUCCCUGCCUGGCCUCGGCGGGGACGCGGGACCUGGGGCCCCGGACCGGGCCUAACCGCCCUGGCCGGUCCCCACUGAUGGUGGCGGUCGGUCCUGAUCGUCCUGAUGGCAGCGACCAGGCUGGACUCGGGCUGUGCAGGGGCGAGGGGAGCAGGGCGGGGUGACGCCCGGAGAGCGGCCUGGAGAGCGCGUGCUUCAGAAGGCGUGGGCACCCUGUCCCCUUUGCAGAUGGGGAUGCAGGCCCUGGUGGCGGUGGAGGGGAGAUGGGGGCAGGGACGUUGCCGGGCAGAGGAAGCUGGCCAUUCCUGGGGGAUUCCUGGGAGCCAUGUGGGAGAGGCGUGAGGAAGUGAGACCUUCACCCCGAGACAGGUCCUGACACACCCUCUGGUGCCUCUACUCAAGUGAGAGCUUUGGAAUAAACAGAUUUCCAUAAAGAAAAGCUGCUUUAGAGUGCUACACUGUAAGAGGGGCCGGGCAAACAAGAAGGGACGGAGGAAAGACCACCAAGUGAGAGGCACAGGUGUCAGGACACACAGAGAGCCCGAAAACGAGGCAGAGGUGAGCGGGGACCAGCAGCACAGCGGCACUGACGCGCCAGGGACUUGGGCUCUGCUGGCCUCCUCCCUCGCGGCCAGCAGUGGCAGUGGUGGGAGUAGGCCUGGCUUGUCUGUGGUUGCCUUUGUUGCUUUAAUUGAAAGUACUCAAGGCUAUUUCUUGUCGCGUCAUUUCUGACAGUGUCCGGUGGUCCCUACCCUGUAAUGCCAGGAGGUUCCAGCCCCACCCUUCCCUCCCCACUCCCUCUUUCAUCUCCCGGAUCCUAUUAGAGGAUUGCUUUUAUAGCUGAUGAGCUGAUGAAGUAUGCAUUUAGCCCUUUAACCGUAACUGAAUUUCCCCUGGUGCACAUCUGUAUGAAGGGUGUGCACCAGGGCUGAGCCGUCUGCUGGGCGAAUAUGUCCCUCCCUGAGGCCCAGGACCACAACCCCUGAGUCACUCAAAGGAAUCGUUCCCAGCCUUAAGAAGUUUGGCUGCUGUAACUGACUGGGAAGCUUAAAAUAACAGACAAUCAUCUCUCACAUUUAUGGGGACUGGGAAGUCCAAGACCAAGUUGCCAUCUGGGGAGGGCCUGUUCCUCACAGCGCCUUCCAGCUCAGGCCUCGUUUAUAAGGGCACUCAAGCCUUCCACGACAACGGGUCCUCAUGACUUACUCACCUCGGAAAGCCCCACCCCCAAGACCAUCACAUUGUGGGUGAUGGCAGAGCAUAAGGUGCCUUCCCCACAUGCUCGGGUUGGCCCAGCGUCUCACGCUAGCAGCUACGUGGAAUAGUUAUUUUUUCUGGAGAACUCUGGGACCCCUCUGAUGUCUUGGAGCACCCACACAGGCCGUUCACUGUGCACGCUGUGAGGCUGUCGUCUUGGAGCACCCACACAGGCCGUUCACUGUGCACGUGGUGAGGCUGUCCUCUGGGGAGUUCUGCUGUUGUAUGGGUUCUGUCUGUGUCAAUGUCCCAGCGGGAACGCAGGGCACACUAGCGUCAUCCCCAGAGGGCUUGGUAAGGGGACUGUUUGCAGAGACAUAGGCAGAGGGCUGGAAAACUACCAAAAAAGUGCAGUGUUCUGGACCUAAUAAUAGCAGAGCUAUUCUCACCCUGGUCUGAAGGCAGGAGGGGAGGAGCAGUUAAUGGAUUCUGGAAGUCAGGUUGCACAGAGUCACCUUGAAAGAUGCCAUGACCUUCACCGAGGGCCAGACAGAGACUAAGAUGACCCCAUAGGAGAAUAAGACCUAGACCUCAUCCUCCUGCCUCCUGCCAGUCCCUGCCAGGGGUCGCCAAUGGCAAAACAGGACUGGAAGCCAGAGGCCAUGGAAGCCCAUGGAUGAAGUCCACAGGCCAGCCUCCCCGAGAGCAGCCUGGACGGUCCGCAGGAGACGUCUCCUGUCUUAGGCGUCCCACGCCGCGUGCUCCUGUUCAGCCCUGCCGAGGUGGAAGCUUGGAGUGGCUCACGGUGGAUGCAUUGACGCUGCAGACGCCAGCAAGUGCUACAAACCAGAGCUGGCCUUUAACUCAGACUGAUGGAGAAGGUGUUAAUAAUGCAGAUUAGACUUAAAAGUGUUGAAGCCAUUGCACUGUGAACAGCAAAAAAAUUGAAGAACUCUUCUGGCAUUUAAAAACAAUUACUCAGUUCAGCAGAGAAGUCACUGACAAACGAGAUCACACUGACUGCUUUGUCGUUUUGGUUUUGUCUUACUCAUUAAUGCAAAUAAGAACAUUCACUAGCAUCUGUGUCGGGCCUACCCUCCCUGGUCAAAUACAGCUACAGUCUCCCUGCAGAAACGAGUUUUCCAGAAAUGAGCCGAUGUUUUCUGCGAGAAUCAAUUGGUCAUAUACAAUUUACAAAAAUGAGUACUGUAUACUAUAUUUGUAAACUGUACACUGCAGAUGCUUUAUUUCACUGAAAUUUAUAAUACACUUAUCCAUGUAUAUGCAUGCAUGCAUUUUUGUUCCUGAGAUCCAGCUGUGAAAUGUUUACCAGCACAUAAAUUACCAGCACAUGCUCUUUUUUGUUAACCUACUAGGUAAAAUCUUCAUUUAUUACAUCAAAUUCUUGUAGUUUUUGUAUUGCAAUUAUGCAGAUAUUGAUUAUCGCAGUAUUACUGCAAUUAUACAGAUACCACAAUUUCAGAUAUUGAUCAGCGUGUUCAGUUGGUUUCUAAGGAGGUUUACUUACCUCAUGGUACACCUAGUUUGCAUAGUUUGAUUAUAUUUAACUCUUAUGCUAAUUGGGGGAAGUCAUUGAUUUAUUGGACAGAUGCACCUGUGGUCUUCCCUGAGCACAUCCUGGCCAAGGAUGCUGCCCCCAGGAGAUUUGAGAAGUCCUGUAAGGAUCAUAUCAGUAUUUUCAAAUACUUAUAGAAAAGCCAGAGGGAUUGACCCAGAAUUACCAAUAUAAGCUUGACCCUGAGAUAACAAUGCCAUUUUAUGUUUGCAUGCAUAAAACCAAUGCAAGAGGCUGAUGACUCCAGAUCCCUUAUAUAAGCCAAUAAAAAGUAGUUUCAUUUUUUAUUUCAUUUAAAAAAGUGUACCAUUAACCUAAAGCCUGCUUGUAAAACCAGUUUGUUUCUGAAGCAUUAGCUCAAAGCUCACUUGCAUUUGGUGAGAAGUCCCUCACGUGUGGCUGCCCUGGCUGGGAGCUCUGAGCUCUGGGAGCCAUUGGAACUGCUAAUCCCACCAGUGCCGUCUGAUUCCCUCUGCUCUAAUGGAGGUCUUUUGCCGGGUAUCCAGUGGCAUUUUCUGGGCUUGGGAGUCAGUAAUUCCCAGUGAUCAAGUGUCUCUGCUCUGAAAAUGCCUUUCUUUGUGAUAUGAAGCUGUCAGUGAUGGAGACUGACCUUUUCAUAAGUCAGUGAAUUUAGUUUCUUUCUCCUCAGCAGUGUCUGGGGGCUGGUCCUCAGCC